UUUAUGCAAUCAGGGCUUGUCCUAAUUGCAUCUUCAUUGUUUUUGUGGCACUUCUAGGUGGCAGAGGAGAUUCAGUCUGUUGUAAAGCUGCUACUCCCUCUGACAGACUUAGAGUCAACAGAAGCUGAUCAGCCAUCCCGGGCUAACCCUUUAGAUAAGACACUGCUUCAACUGCAGAAAGUGGCCCGGAGUCUCGCCAUUAACACCUCUCAGGGAAAUAAAUCUGGGGAAGAUGCUGCCAUUUUACAGCAAGCUC
Long non-coding RNA from Cyprinus carpio (common carp), 256 nucleotides. NCBI's taxonomy places the organism in Eukaryota, Metazoa, Chordata, Actinopteri, Cypriniformes, Cyprinidae. The record is from Ensembl.